CCGCUGAACUUAAGCAUAUCAGUAAGCGGAGGAAAAGAAACUAACAAGGAUUGCCCCAGUAGCGGCGAGUGAACAGGCAAAAGCUCAAAGUGAAAAUCCGUAGCAAAAAGUUAUGGAAUUGUAAUCUAGAGAUGCUUUCAGAGGGAAUGUCCGUAGCAUAAGUUCCUUGGAAAAGGACAUCAAAGAGGGUGAAAAUCCCGUAGUUGGCUAUGGGCGGAACUAAUGAAGGUAAUCGAAGAGUCGGGUUGUUUGGGAUUGCAGCCCUAAAUGGGAGAUAAACUCUUCUAAAGCUAAAUAACUAUGGGAAACCGAUAGCGAACAAGUACUGCGAAGGAAAG
Molecule: ribosomal RNA, 338 nt
Filed under: Miamiensis avidus
Lineage: Eukaryota; Ciliophora; Oligohymenophorea; Philasterida; Glauconematidae
Description: eukaryotic LSU rRNA
Rfam family: Eukaryotic large subunit ribosomal RNA
Source: RNAcentral